RNAcentral lists this ribosomal RNA (301 nucleotides) under uncultured bacterium. Its description in RNAcentral is "partial 16S ribosomal RNA". It matches the Rfam family "Bacterial small subunit ribosomal RNA", at positions 509 to 807 of the family's 1533-position model. The record is from RNAcentral.
CAGCAGCCGCGGUAAGACAGAGGAUGCAAGCGUUAUCCGGAAUCAUUGGGUUUAAAGGGUCCGUAGGCGGUCUUGUAAGUCAGUGGUGAAAGCCCAUCGCUCAACGGUGGAACGGCCAUUGAUACUGCAGGACUUGAAUUAUUGGGAAGUAACUAGAAUAUGUAGUGUAGCGGUGAAAUGCUUAGAGAUUACAUGGAAUACCAAUUGCGAAGGCAGGUUACUACCAAUUGAUUGACGCUGAUGGACGAAAGCGUGGGUAGCGAACAGGAUUAGAUACCCGAGUAGUCCCUGUCUCUUAUAC